Molecule: ribosomal RNA, 373 nt
Filed under: uncultured organism
Description: partial 16S ribosomal RNA
Rfam family: Bacterial small subunit ribosomal RNA
Source: RNAcentral
GUAGGUGGCAAGCGUUGUCCGGAAUUAUUGGGCGUAAGGCGCGCGCAGGCGGUCCUUUAAGUCUGAUGUGAAAGCCCACGGCUCAACCGUGGAGGGUCAUUGGAAACUGGGGGACUUGAGUACAGAAGAGGAAAGCGGAAUUCCAAGUGUAGCGGUGAAAUGCGUAGAGAUUUGGAGGAACACCAGUGGCGAAGGCGGCUUUCUGGUCUGUAACUGACGCUGAGGCGCGAAAGCGUGGGGAGCAAACAGGAUUAGAUACCCUGGUAGUCCACGCCGUAAACGAUGAGUGCUAAGUGUUAGGGGGUUUCCCGCCCCCUUAGUGCUGCAGCUAACGCAUUAAGCACUCCGCCUGGGGAGUACGGCCGCAAGGCUG